This is a long non-coding RNA of Oncorhynchus tshawytscha (Chinook salmon), 1015 nucleotides long. NCBI's taxonomy places the organism in Eukaryota, Metazoa, Chordata, Actinopteri, Salmoniformes, Salmonidae. The record is from Ensembl.
GUCCAAACAAAACAAUGUCCUCUGAUGCAUAGCUCGGAACCAAAGGUCCAAACAAAACAAUGUCCUCUGAUGCAUAGCUCGGAACCAAAGGUCCAAACAAAACAAUGUCCUCUGAUGCAUAGCUCAGAACCAAAGGUCCAAACAAAACAAUGUCCUCUGGUGCAUAGCUCGGAACCAAAGGUCCAAACAAAACAAUGUCCUCUGGUGCAUAGCUCGGAACCAAAGGUCCAAACAAAACAAUGUGUGUUUGUGUUUUUGUAUGAAUGGCUGUUUUCUCCAUUUCUUAUCUUUUGAAUGUUGAUGAAACUCAAGUACUACUUCCUAUUGAAGUCAUACGGAUGUCAUUCUGUACAUGAGAUGAGAGUUCUACAAAUCGGUGGACGAAGUUGAACAAUGGAUGAGUCCAGCAACAGUGUCCACGAGAACGCUCCAGACAGUUCAGUAGCUUCAUGAUACAGAAUAUACUCUUGAUUCAAAAUACACCCACUACUUCGUGCUUGAGUCAAACUGUAGAAGAUCAACUGUGUGUGGGUGUGGUGUCUGAGGAGAAGCCUCUCUAAAUGUCUCCUUGGAGCCAGAGAGAACAGUAUAAUAACAUGAUUUAAUAGCAGCUGUAUCCUGAACAGAGCCUGUAUUCAGCCAUUGAAGUUGAUUGCAAUACAUGUAAGUACUCAUGUUUAGGUGCCCGGUACUCUUUAUAUAUAGGUGCCGGUACUCUGCAAUACUUUGAAGACAAUAUUCUAUAAGAGGUGCCAGUACUCAAUCAGGAGAAGAUCUGACUAUCUACACAAUUAACAUAUCAUUGUACCCAUUGGUCAAAAGAUGUGUUAAUAUUCAGUGAACUACUUUUGACCAGAUCCUUAUAUGGGCCUUGAUAAAAACAUACUGGAGGGUUUCAAUUUGGAUAAAGAACAUGUUCUUCUUCUCAAUUACUUACAGACAGUCUGGAGUGGUCUCCCCCCUCCCAACAGGAAAUAGAACAACAUCAAUCUUGAAUCUAUCACAGUUUUGUUUU